RNAcentral lists this ribosomal RNA (465 nucleotides) under uncultured bacterium. Its description in RNAcentral is "partial 16S ribosomal RNA". It matches the Rfam family "Bacterial small subunit ribosomal RNA", at positions 338 to 795 of the family's 1533-position model. The record is from RNAcentral.
CCUACGGGGAGCAGCAGUAGGGAAUCUUCCACAAUGGGCGAAAGCCUGAUGGAGCAACGCCGCGUGGGUGAAGAAGGUCUUCGGAUCGUAAAACCCUGUUGUUAGAGAAGAAAGUGCGUGAGAGUAACUGUUUACGUUUCGACGGUAUGUAAACAGAAAGCCACGGCUAACUACGGGCCAGCAGCCGCGGUAAUACGUAGGUGGCAAGCUUUAUCCGGAUUUAUUGGGCGUAAAGGGAACGCAGGCGGUCUUUUAAGUCUGAUGUGAAGGGCUUCGGCUUAACCGGAGUAGUGCAUGUGAUACUGGGUGACUUGAGUGCAGAAGAGGAGAGUGGAACUCCAUGUGUAGCGGUGAAAUGCGUAGAUAUAUGGAAGAACACCAGUGGCGAAAGCGGCUCUCUGGUCUGUAACUGACGCUGAGGUUCGAAAGCGUGGGUAGCAAACAGGAUUAGAUACCCCAGUAGUC